Molecule: long non-coding RNA, 1387 nt
Organism: Eriocheir sinensis (Chinese mitten crab)
Lineage: Eukaryota; Metazoa; Arthropoda; Malacostraca; Decapoda; Varunidae
Exons: 2
Source: RefSeq, a predicted model, not a curated record
CCAAACCACCAUCCGAUUCCAGCAUCCACACCCAAGCAACCAACCCGCGACGCUGCAGCACCUAACACCCCAAACUGGUGCUUGAGGAAUGCCGAGGGAACACCGAGAAACAUGAUCUCAUAACUUCGAGGACUUCCUUGAGUGGCGCCUCAAGGAAGGAAGCGUGAGAGCAGUUCGAGGUCGUGCAAGGAGCAGGGAACAAGUUAACCCACUGGAGUAAGCUGAGCACCGCCGCCACGCCCACGCCCACGCCACCCUUCCCUCAACCCGAAAACCUUUGUCCCUAUUCUUAGACGCUUUCUUUUCACACAACAAGUAUUUCCAAAGGGCACAAGGGUGAUUAGUCGGGGUUCUCAUGAGUGUUUUCAAAUUUAAACUAUCAUUAGGCUCAACACCAUCCAUGAAAAUACCUACAACAUCUACGAAAGACCCGAUUUUUAAUUUUUUUAUAUAUAUAUACAGCAGAGGAGACGGUGCAAGGGCGCAAAAAAAAAAAGAAAAAAAAAAAGCCCACUACUUAUUGCUCCUAUAUGGGCUCUUAUCUCAACUCCUACCCUUCUUUGUCCGCCCCCUUUCCCCGCCCUCAUGGAAAUACAACAACCUCUACCGAAGUCCUGAAAUGCCUGAGAAUGUGGGCCCUCGAAUCCUACCCUCCCUUUCUCGUCCCUUUCCCCGCCCUCCCAUUUAACGGGUUAGUCCUACGACUCAGACCAGGAGAAGGAGGAAGCGGCCAAGAUCUCAAGUGGACGGGAAGACACGCUGAAGUGACUUACGAAAGAGAGAGAGAGAGAGAGAGAGAGAGAGAGAGAGAGAGAGAGAGAGAGAGAGAGAGAGAGAGAGAGAGAGAGAGAGAGAGAGAGAGCACCCACCGCUUACACACGCCACCACUCAUAUCUCUAAUAGUCUGGGAGCCGUGCCCGAAAAGCUAUUAUUGAGCGAGUGCGAUUUGGAGGCCGAAGAAAAAAAUGGGCAAACAACAAACAGACGUCGAGCCAUCAGCGCAUCAAGAGAAAAUGAAGGGCGGGGGGAGAGCAAGGGGCAGGAAAAGAGAAAAAGGGAAGAGAAUGUGAUGGAAAAAGAUUAAAGGGCAUGGCGGGAGACUGAGAGAGAAUGGGAAUGAUGAAACAAAUGAGAUGAAAGAAUGGGAUGGAAAAAUAAAAAGGAAGGGCAUGAGUGAGAUUGAGGUGGAAUGAGGAAACAAGUACUUAAGUGAAAAGGAGAAUAAAUAUGCCAGAGUAUAAUAAUGAAAUGAAAAAGAAUGAGCAGUGAAUAAAAACGCUAAAACAUGGACCAGAAAAAGGGAUAAUGAAAAAUGCCAAGAUGUAUUACGGCGGGAAGGAGGAGGAGGAGGAGGAGGAGGAGGAGGAGAGGAAACAUGCCAGACAAC